This 407-nucleotide ribosomal RNA is filed under the name uncultured bacterium. Its description in RNAcentral is "partial 16S ribosomal RNA". It matches the Rfam family "Bacterial small subunit ribosomal RNA", at positions 28 to 526 of the family's 1533-position model. The record is from RNAcentral.
GACGAACGCUGGCGGCGUGCCUAAUACAUGCAAGUCGACCUUAGUGGCGAACGGGUGAGUAACACGUGGGUAACCUGCCCAUCAGAAGGGGAUAACACUUGGAAACAGGUGCUAAUACCGUAUACUGAUGGAUGGACCCGCGGUGCAUUAGCUAGUUGGUGAGGUAACGGCUCACCAAGGCCACGAUGCAUAGCCGACCUGGGAGGUGGCUAGGCCACCUGGGGAUGGAGACGCGGCCCAAACCCCUACGGGAGGCAGCAUGGGGGAAUUUUCGGCAAGGGACGAAAGUCUGACCGAGCAACGCCGCGUGAGUGAAGAAGGUUUUCGGAUCGUAAAACUCUGUUGUUAGAGAAGCGGUAUCUAACCAGAAAGCCACGGCUAACUACGUGCCAGCAGCCGCGUAAUAC